GUGGGCGUAGCUCAGGCGGUUAGAGCACUAGGUUGUGGCCCUAGAGGCCGGGGGUUCAAGUCCCCUCGCUCACCCCA
This 77-nucleotide transfer RNA is filed under the name bacterium. Its description in RNAcentral is "tRNA-His". It matches the Rfam family "tRNA". Rfam says of the family: Transfer RNA (tRNA) molecules are approximately 80 nucleotides in length. Their secondary structure includes four short double-helical elements and three loops (D, anti-codon, and T loops). The record is from RNAcentral.